CAUUCAUCCACCCAGUCAGCCACUACUGCAAUAUCAAAGAGAUAGAAAAUGCCUGUUGCUGGGAAACAGAGGAUUCCUUACCUUAAAGAGUUCACAGUUUGGUGGAAAAACAGAAAAACUACCCAGUAGUUACCAUGGAGUGUUAGGAGGUUAGGAGAAGGUGUCCGUGGAGAGAAGAGAGACACUCAGCACAGCUCCAGAAGUCAGCAAAACCUUCCUGAGCAAAGCACCGAAGGAAGCAGGAGUAAGAGUGAGACUGGCAAGGGAAAGGGAAGGACAUUCCAGGCACAGAGAACAGCAGCAUCAGGGCAGGGAAACGGAUGCCAUGAAGAUGGGGAGGCCAGCCAGGACAAGACUGGGUCAUGCCAAGAAAUUUAACUUUUUACAGAAGGUGAUGAGAUCCUUUUGGAUGAUAAGUGAUGAGGUCAGUUUUCUGCUUUGGGAGAUCACUCUGGCAGCAAUGUGAAGGGUGAAUUGGGUAGGGGCAAGGCUGGAAAGGAGAGAAGUGACAGUCAUUCAGCUAAGUCUCUGUACAACUGUCCAUGCUAUACACAAACUGUGAGAACUAUGGGAUACUGUUUUCUACCUAUCGUGAUGAAAAAGAUCCAGUGAAAAAUAUCCAGUACUGACCUUCCUGGUGAUCCCCAUUUACUGUGCUGGGCCAAGUUCUCCAGAUGGCUGGCUGUCUCUCCUGAGGGCCAAAAGGGACAGAAGUUUGAGAUGGCUGAAGAGUCCAAGAUGGUGUUAUUAAUUUCCUUAAUGGCAGCAGCAGAAGUCAUGGUAAUAAAGAAGUGCAAGGUGGCACAAACAAAAGAUGCCUGGGAAGAGGCUCCAUCUAGAAGUGUCCAAACCCACCAAGGCCAUGUAUCAUCAGUGAUGCAGCCCAGGUUUGAAUUUUGUUAGAAGAAAAAAAAUGUUCUAACCUUGGGCAAGUUUUUGAAACCUCACCAAGAUUGUCUCCUUUCCUGCAAUGAUAGAAGACAGAAUUGCCUUAUUAAGCAAUGUCAUACUUGCAAAGAACAAAUAAUAAGGCUUUAAUACAUAUUGGUUUCAUUCUCCUCCCCACCUCUUCUGGAUUACUAGAGGAGAAUGUAAAUUGCUAAGGACAGGGACUAGGUCUUUUUCAUCUCUACGCCCCCAAUAUUUUGUACAUGGUGGG
Long non-coding RNA from Mustela erminea (ermine), 1159 nucleotides. RefSeq lists it as uncharacterized. NCBI's taxonomy places the organism in Eukaryota, Metazoa, Chordata, Mammalia, Carnivora, Mustelidae. The record is from RefSeq and is a predicted model, not a curated record. The transcript is spliced from 5 exons.